Molecule: small nuclear RNA, 158 nt
Organism: Manis javanica (Malayan pangolin)
Lineage: Eukaryota; Metazoa; Chordata; Mammalia; Pholidota; Manidae
Product: U1 spliceosomal RNA
Source: RefSeq, a predicted model, not a curated record
ACACUUACCCGGCCGGGAGAUGCCGUGAUCACGGAUCUCCCAGGGCGAGGCUCACGCAUUGCACUCUGGAUAUACUGACCCCUGCAAUUACACCAAAUGUGGGAAACUCAACUGCAUAAUUUGUGCUAGUGGGGGACUGCAUUUCACACGUUCCCCCC